CCUACGGGAGGCAGCAGUAGGGAAUUUUCCACAAUGGGCGAAAGCCUGAUGGAGCAAUGCCGCGUGCAGGAUGAAGGCCUUCGGGUCGUAAACUGCUUUUAUGUGCGAAGAAUUUGACGGUAACACAUGAAUAAGGAUCGGCUAACUACGUGCCAGCAGCCGCGGUCAUACGUAGGAUCCAAGCGUUAUCCGGAAUUACUGGGCGUAAAGAGUUGCGUAGGUGGCAUUAUAAGUGGAGCGUGAAAGCGUGCGGCUCAACCGCAUUAUUGCGUUCCAAACUGUGAAGCUUGAGUAUGGGAGAGGUAGAUGGAAUUUCUAGUGUAGGAGUGAAAUCCGUAGAUAUUAGAAGGAACACCGAUGGCGUAGGCAGUCUACUGGCCCAUUACUGACACUAAGGCACGAAAGCGUGGGGAGCAAACGGGAUUAGAUACCCCGGUAGUCCACGCUGUAAACUAUGGAUGCUAGCUGUGACACACAUCGACUGUGUCGUAGACGAAGUAACGUACGUAAGACGACUCCGCCGUCGGGAGGUACGGUCGGCGAAGUAAGUUAAAACUUAACUUAAAUAAGUUAAGUUAGUACGGCGUUGAGACGUUAGCCGAACGGACGACGACGAACGGGGAGGUUAGGAGG
This 633-nucleotide ribosomal RNA is filed under the name uncultured bacterium. RNAcentral's name for it is "bacterial SSU rRNA". The stretch from base 1 to 522 matches the Rfam family "Bacterial small subunit ribosomal RNA", at positions 338 to 873 of the family's 1533-position model. The record is from RNAcentral.